GCUGGGCAUGGUCGCGAAUGCCUGUAAUCUCAGCUACUCAGGAGGCUGAGGCAGAAGAAUCGCUUGAACCUGGGAGCCUGAGGUUGCAGUGAGCCGAGAUCGCACCACUGCAUUCCAGCCUAGGUGACAGAGCGAGACUCCGUCUCAA
This 148-nucleotide non-coding RNA is filed under the name Pan paniscus (pygmy chimpanzee). RNAcentral also lists the same sequence under 1 other name. The record is from Rfam by way of RNAcentral. Lineage: Eukaryota; Metazoa; Chordata; Mammalia; Primates; Hominidae.